AGCAGCCGCGGUAAUUCCAGCUCCAAUAGCGUAUAUUAAAGUUGUUGCAGUUAAAAAGCUCGUAGUUGAAUUUCGGGAUCAAUUAAUUGGUCGUGCCUCUGGUACGUACUGAUUUUAUUGGUUUCUCCCUUCUGACGAACCAUGAUGUCAUUAAUUUGGUGUCGUGGAGAAUCAGGACUGUUACUUUGAAAAAUUAGAGUGUUUAAAGCAAGCUAACGCUUGAAUACAUUAGCAUGGAAUAAUGAAAUAGGACGUUUGAUCCUAUUUUGUUGGUUUCUAGGAUCGACGUAAUGAUUAGUAGGGAUAGUUGGGGGCAUUAGUAUCCAAUUGUCAGAGGUGAAAUUCUUGGAUUUAUUGAAGACUAACUACUGCGAAAGCAUUUGCCAAGGAUGUUUUCAUUAAUCAAGAACGAAAGUUAGGGGAUCGAAGACGAUCAGAUACCGUCGUAGUCUUAACCAUAAACUAUGCCGACUAGGGAUCGGAUGAUGUUAAUUUUUUAAUGUACUCAUUCGGCGCCUUA
Molecule: unclassified non-coding RNA, 520 nt
Filed under: uncultured Glomus
Lineage: Eukaryota; Fungi; Glomeromycota; Glomeromycetes; Glomerales; Glomeraceae
Description: SSU rRNA
Rfam family: Eukaryotic small subunit ribosomal RNA
Source: RNAcentral